Molecule: long non-coding RNA, 1665 nt
Organism: Salmo trutta (river trout)
Lineage: Eukaryota; Metazoa; Chordata; Actinopteri; Salmoniformes; Salmonidae
Source: Ensembl
AUCUCCUGGUCCAGCCUGAUAUCUCCCUGACUGACUCAAUGGGAGGGGUCUCCAGGGGCCACCAGGGGCCCGAGGUGUUCAGGGACUACAGCUUCACCAUCACCUGCUCCACUCAGCCACAGUACCCAGGAGGCUCCUUCCUGCUCACGUUCACCGGCUCCAACAGAACCCAGACCCAGCCAGCUGUCAAUCACUCUGCUGCCUUCCUCUUCCCUGCAGCAGAUGACUCCCACCAAGGGAACUACAGAUGUGUUUAUGAGAAUUAUGUUUUCUCUCAUAACUUCUCCUCUGAGAGUGGGCUCCUCACCCUCACCAUCACAGCCUCUCCUCUGCCAGCCUUCAUCAUCAGACACGUUGUAGUGCUGCUGAUCCUACUGACAGCCAUCACCACCUCCUACCUGUACUACAAGCCCACCAGGAGGCAGAAGAGAGUGAACAGGGUGAGCAGCAUGGAUCUUUAUGUCAAUGCCAUGGAGACGGUCUCUCUGAGCUCCAGAGCUGAAGCUGGACCAGGAGAGGAGAGAGCAGCCCAGGGGACGGAGUAGGAGUAGAAUGAACCUGAUCCUACAUGCUGAUCUUAGGUCAGUUUUGUGUUUUAAAUGGAUGGUCAGCAGUGGACUGGUGUUUAAAAUGUGGUGACAAACCUGAAGUGGUUCUAAUUUUAAUAACAAGUUCAGAAUUAGUUCAUCUUUCUAGAACCUUGGAAGAAAUCUAAAAGGAGUGACUGCAACCACCAUUAUUACUUUUAGUUUGGUUUUUACCACCAGAGAAACAUGGGGUUCUGGGUAACAUGGGGUUUGGGGUAACAUGGGGUUCUGGGUAACAUGGGGUUCUGGGUAACAUGGGGUUCUGGGGUAACAUGGGGUUCUGGGUAACAUGGGGUUCUGGGUAACAUGGGGUUCUGGGUAACAUGGGGUUCUGGGUAACAUGGGGUUUUGAUUAUUUUAAGAGAGUUGCUUAAUUACGUCUGUUUUGUGUUCCAGAAUGUAUUACUAUCUUAUUUAGUGUCUCUUAGAUUCUUUAUCUUAUUUAGUGUCUCUUAGAUUCUUUAUCUUAUUUAGUGUCUCUUAGAUUCUUAAUCUUAUUUAGUCUCUUAGAUUCUUUAUCUUAUUUAGUGUCUCUUAGAUUCUUAAUCUUAUUUAGUCUCUUAGAUUCUUUAUCUUAUUUAGUGUCUCUUAGAUUCUUUAUCUUAUUUAGUGUCUCUUAGAUUCUUUAUCUUAUUUAGUGUCUCUUAGAUUCUUUAUCUUAUUUAGUGUCUCUUAGAUUCUUUAUCUUGAAGUGUUUCCAUUAUUAGUCCAUGUAUUAUUAUAAUCAUCUGUUCAUUCUUUGUAUUUAGAUUUUUUUUAAAUAAAGGGGGUUGUUGUUGUUUACCUCUCAUGUUAUUGAUUAUAAAUGUUAUAAUAUUGAUUAUGAUGUAGAUUGUUAUGAUGCUAGUAGUAUAUAGAACAUGAUGUUAUUCUCUUAAGAUCUGUGUGUUACAGAGAAAGUAUAGUAUUUAGUGCAGGUCUGAUAUACAUUAGAUUGUGUGGAUAUGUUCCAGAUGAAGACCUGUUGUUCUCUAAACUGUCAUGAAUCACUCAAUGCUUUUAAUAAACUCACAGGCUGUCAGUCUUGUGUGAUUCCCCUCCAGUUUUUUAUUUCACGGUGGUCAAGGGGUUAUUGAUC